RNAcentral lists this ribosomal RNA (462 nucleotides) under uncultured bacterium. RNAcentral's name for it is "partial 16S ribosomal RNA". It matches the Rfam family "Bacterial small subunit ribosomal RNA", at positions 28 to 507 of the family's 1533-position model. The record is from RNAcentral.
GACGAACGCUGGCGGCGUGCUUAACACAUGCAAGUCGAACGGAAAGGCCCUUCGGGGUACUCGAGUGGCGAACGGGUGAGUAACACGUGGGUGAUCUGCCCUGCACUUUGGGAUAAGCCUGGGAAACUGGGUCUAAUACCGAAUAGGACCGCGCGCUUCAUGGUGUGUGGUGGAAAGCUUUUGCGGUGUGGGAUGGGCCCGCGGCCUAUCAGCUUGUUGGUGGGGUAAUGGCCUACCAAGGCGACGACGGGUAGCCGGCCUGAGAGGGUGACCGGCCACACUGGGACUGAGAUACGGACCAGACUCCUACGGGAGGCAGCAGUGGGGAAUAUUGCACAAUGGGCGCAAGCCUGAUGCAGCGACGCCGCGUGAGGGAUGACGGCCUUCGGGUUGUAAACCUCUUUCACCAGGGACGAAGCGCAAGUGACGGUACCUGGAGAAGAAGCACCGGCCAACUACGUG